This 468-nucleotide ribosomal RNA is filed under the name uncultured bacterium. Its description in RNAcentral is "partial 16S ribosomal RNA". It matches the Rfam family "Bacterial small subunit ribosomal RNA", at positions 29 to 507 of the family's 1533-position model. The record is from RNAcentral.
UACGAACGCUGGCGGCGUGCUUAACACGUGCAAGUCGAACGGAAAGGCCCUGCUUUUGUGGGGUGCUCGAGUGGCGAACGGGUGAGUAACACGUGAGUAACCUGCCCUUGACUUUGGGAUAACUUCAGGAAACUGGGGCUAAUACCGGAUAGGAGCUCCUGCUGCAUGGUGGGGGUUGGAAAGUUUCGGCGGUUGGGGAUGGACUCGCGGCUUAUCAGCUUGUUGGUGGGGUAGUGGCUUACCAAGGCUUUGACGGGUAGCCGGCCUGAGAGGGUGACCGGCCACAUUGGGACUGAGAUACGGCCCAGACUCCUACGGGAGGCAGCAGUGGGGAAUAUUGCACAAUGGGCGGAAGCCUGAUGCAGCAACGCCGCGUGCGGGAUGACGGCCUUCGGGUUGUAAACCGCUUUCGCCUGUGACGAAGCGUGAGUGACGGUAAUGGGUAAAGAAGCACCGGCUAACUACGUG